RNAcentral lists this ribosomal RNA (469 nucleotides) under uncultured bacterium. Its description in RNAcentral is "partial 16S ribosomal RNA". It matches the Rfam family "Bacterial small subunit ribosomal RNA", at positions 28 to 507 of the family's 1533-position model. The record is from RNAcentral.
GACGAACGCUGGCGGCGUGCUUAACACAUGCAAGUCGAACGAUGAUCUCCCGCUUGCGGGGGCGUUUAGUGGCGAACGGGUGAGUAAUACGUGAGUACCCUGCCCUUGACUCUGGGAUAAGCCUGGGAAACCGGGUCUAAUACUGGAUACUACUUCCUGCCGCAUGGUGGGGGGUGGAAAGGGUUUUACUGGUUUUGGAUGGGCUCACGGCCUAUCAGCUUGUUGGUGGGGUAAUGGCUCACCAAUGCGACGAAGGGUCGCCGGCCUGUGAGGGUGACCGGCGGCACUGGGACUGAGACACGGCCCAGACGCCGACUAGAGGCAGCAGUGGGGAAUAUUGCACAAGGGGCGGAAGCCUGAUGCAGCGACGCCGCGUGUGGGAUAACGGCUUUCUUGUUGUAAACCUCUUUCAGCAGGGAAGAAGCCUCAAGUGACGGUACCUGCAGAAGAAGCGCCGGCUAACUACGUG